UGAAAAUCAGUAUAGAAAAUGACUUCAAAGGACACCUUGAAGAAUUUGAGGUUCAAUGAUUUUGAUAGAGAGAGAGAGAAUAUUAAGUUGGAUUUGAUACACAGCUCAGUCAUUCCUGAUCAAAUAAUCUCCAUCAUCAUCCUGCCAGAAACAACAGUAUCAAUCAGACAAAGAGACCCUAAACUAACAACCAUAUACCCAUAUUCAUUCCAUCAAGCAAAGAAACUUCCAAGGUGCUAACUUCAGAGAUCAUCCAAUGCUAAGACCUUGCUCCGACACCGCACAUUAUCUCAGUCUUUGAUGUACGAUACUGAUGUAAUGUAAUUAACACCGAAAGCUUCUCUUAUCAGUAAAAAGUUGAAAAAAUUCAAAACCUGAAAAGGACCCGCGAGUUUGCGUUCCUCCUGUUUUCAUCUUGUAGCAAACACCUAAAGUUACACCUCCAGUUUCCAGCCUUGAGGCGACGAUAUCACCAUCAGGAUUUCUCUAUGAACCACAAUCAAAUUCUGCAUAAAUCUUAGCAACAUAUAUAGUAGUAGGCAACAAGAAUACUAAAUAGGGAACAAAGAAAGUUUGCCGAGAGCUGCAUUAUUUGAUAACAAACAAAAAAAACAGCUUGAGAUUACAAAUUAGCUUUGGUAAUGAAAUACAACAGUUGUCUCUCUCUCUUUUACAACAAACAGAAGAACGUUAAAGAGACCAAAAGUGAAAAUGGCUUCAUUCACUAAAACUGGGCACAUUGCUACAUUCUUUUUCUUCCUUUUUACAACG
Brassica rapa (field mustard) is the source of this 771-nucleotide long non-coding RNA. RefSeq lists it as uncharacterized. NCBI's taxonomy places the organism in Eukaryota, Viridiplantae, Streptophyta, Magnoliopsida, Brassicales, Brassicaceae. The record is from RefSeq and is a predicted model, not a curated record.